Molecule: non-coding RNA, 745 nt
Organism: Paramuricea clavata
Lineage: Eukaryota; Metazoa; Cnidaria; Anthozoa; Malacalcyonacea; Plexauridae
Source: the annotation of a GenBank genome assembly
AGCUAUGGUAAUCCACAUUGCACAGCAAAUAUGGUUUUAAUAUUAAUAUGGUAAUAAUUAAUAUGGUAAUUGCACAUUGGACAGCCUUGCUUCUUCCAUCAUCAGAAGAGAUUCUCAACUCACCUGAUGUGUUGCCUUGGCAAAAUAGACAUUUAUCAGAGGAAUAACUGCGCUAGGAGAUAUACUUUCCUCCUUACGUUUUGAACCAGAUGAGGUUGUUGAAGCCAUUGACAAUUGUGUGCCUUAAUAUUUUUAAUACUGCAUUAUUAUAUUUAUAACAUGUACUAUGAACAUUAAAAAUUCAACACUACAUUAAAUCAAUAUUUCUUUGCCCCUCUCAGAAUGAAAAUAUAAUUCGAAUUGUUUGGUGUCUUGUAUUAAGACUAUUAUGUGCUACAGUGAUUACAUUAUUUUAACUUGACAUGUAUGAAAGAGACAAAUCAAAUAGGGGUAAUCAUAGUUUCAAACAAAGACACCCAAUAAGCUAUAAAAAUAUCAAGUAUCCAAGCGAUAUAUGAUGAAAACUAUUUUAGUUAUAACAAUAAUAAGGAAAUAAUAUGUUAAUAAAUAUAUAAUACAAACUUUAUGUGUCUUCGUCGCCUGUUUUGUUUGAUAAAAACCUUGUUUCAAUCGAUCUUUCGAGCAAAGAAUUACCAUUUUAUUGCGCAUUAUUUCCAUAUCCUUCGGCAUGCGCGGGCUCAGUUUUCUAGUUAAAUCAAUCCUAUUGGUCACAAUGAAAUAUUUU